RNAcentral lists this ribosomal RNA (640 nucleotides) under uncultured bacterium. Its description in RNAcentral is "bacterial SSU rRNA". It matches the Rfam family "Bacterial small subunit ribosomal RNA", at positions 223 to 863 of the family's 1533-position model. The record is from RNAcentral.
AGAUGGGCAUGCGUCUGAUUAGGUAGUUGGUAGGGUAACGGCCUACCAAGCCUGCGAUCAGUAGGGGUCCUGAGAGGGUAAUCCCCCACACUGGUACUGAGACACGGACCAGACUCCUACGGGAGGCAGCAGUGAGGAAUAUUGGUCAAUGGACGAGAGUCUGAACCAGCCAUCCCGCGUGCAGGAUGACGGCCCUAUGGGUUGUAAACUGCUUUUCUACUCCAAGAAACCUGGUUACGAGUAAUCAGUUGCCGGUAGAGUAGGAAUAAGCAUCGGCUAACUCCGUGCCAGCAGCCGCGGUAAUACGGAGGAUGCAAGCGUUAUCCGGAUUCAUUGGGUUUAAAGGGUGCGCAGGUGGGCUUGUAAGUCAGUGGUGAAAUGCUGCCGCUUAACGGUAGAAUUGCCAUUGAUACUGUGAGUCUUGAGUAUGGUUGAGGUAGGCGGAAUGUGCAGUGUAGCGGUGAAAUGCAUAGAUAUUGCACAGAACUCCGAUUGCGAAGGCAGCUUACUAAGCCAUUACUGACGCUGAGGCACGAAAGCGUGGGGAGCGAACAGGAUUAGAUACCCUGGUAGUCCACGCCGUAAACGAUGUUCACUCGCUGUUUGCGAUACACAGCAAGCGGCUGAGCGAAAGCAUUAA